RNAcentral lists this ribosomal RNA (827 nucleotides) under Phaeosphaeriopsis agavacearum. RNAcentral describes it as "eukaryotic LSU rRNA". It matches the Rfam family "Eukaryotic large subunit ribosomal RNA", at positions 86 to 932 of the family's 3401-position model. Lineage: Eukaryota; Fungi; Ascomycota; Dothideomycetes; Pleosporales; Phaeosphaeriaceae. The record is from RNAcentral.
ACGGCGAGUGAAGCGGCAACAGCUCAAAUUUGAAAUCUGGCUCUUUCAGAGUCCGAGUUGUAAUUUGCAGAGGGCGCUUUGGCAUUGGCAGCGGUCCAAGUUCUUUGGAACAGGACGUCACAGAGGGUGAGAAUCCCGUACGUGGUCGCUAGCCUUUGCCGUGUAAAGCCCCUUCGACGAGUCGAGUUGUUUGGGAAUGCAGCUCUAAAUGGGAGGUAAAUUUCUUCUAAAGCUAAAUACUGGCCAGAGACCGAUAGCGCACAAGUAGAGUGAUCGAAAGAUGAAAAGCACUUUGGAAAGAGAGUCAAAUAGCACGUGAAAUUGUUGAAAGGGAAGCGCUUGCAGCCAGACUUGCCUGUAGUUGCUUAUCUGGACUUUUGUCCAGUGCACUCUUCUGCGGGCAGGCCAGCAUCAGUUUGGGCGGUUGGAUAAAGGUCUCUGUCAUGUACCUCUCUUCGGAGAGGCCUUAUAGGGGAGACGACAUGCAACCAGCCUGGACUGAGGUCCGCGCAUUUGCUAGGAUGCUGGCGUAAUGGCUGUAAGCGGCCCGUCUUGAAACACGGACCAAGGAGUCUAACAUCUAUGCGAGUGUUUGGGUGUCAAGCCCAGACGCGUAAUGAAAGUGAACGGAGGUGGGAACCCUUUGGGUGCACCAUCGACCGAUCCUGAUGUCUUCGGAAGGAUUUGAGUAAGAGCAUGGCUGUUGGGACCCGAAAGAUGGUGAACUAUGCUUGAAUAGGGUGAAGCCAGAGGAAACUCUGGUGGAGGCUCGCAGCGGUUCUGACGUGCAAAUCGAUCGUCAAAUUUGGGCAUAGGGGCGAAAGACU